UUUUUUUUUUUUUUUUUUAAGAGUCAGAGUCUCGCUGUGUUUCCAGGUUGGUCUUGAACUCCUGGCCUCAAGUGAGCCUCCAGCCUCAACCUCCCAGGUAGCUGUGAUUACAGGUGCUCCCUGCUGAGAUGCAUAUGUAAGAAUGCUCCUAAGCUGAGGGAAGAGAAAAAGUGAUUAAUGGAAAGGGACAUAACAGGAAAAUGGAACCUGAAGAAAAAGAUGAAAGAAGAAGGGAAAGAGUAGGCACUGACAAGGGUGGUUAUGGUGGGACAGAGAUGAGGGGAAGGUAAGAUGCAGGGUGAAAAGGAGACAACAAACAGUACAGUAUUGUCAAGAGAGGACGUGAAAUGGGAAAAUUGAAUUUUAGCUGGACAUGGUGGUGCAUUCCUGUAGUCCCAGGUAUUUGGAGGCUGAGGCAGGAUUAUUUUAGCUUGGGAGUUCAAGUCUAGCCUGGGCAACAUAAUGAGAACCCAUCUCUUAAAAAAAAUUGACUUUAAUCAAAGAAACCUAUAAUUAUAUAGCAGUGGGACAAGAUAGCCUCUUUUGGGCCUCUGUUUCAUCUGUGAAAUGAUGCUUUUCAAUUAGAUGAUGUGUGGCAAGAGCCACACGGUUUGAGAUUCACAAUAUUUUGCAAGUGAUAUAUAAUUAAGCAAUGCUGUUUUCUAAGGUAUUCAUGUAUAUAUUUUAACCCCAUCCUGUAAAAUUAAAGUCAAACUUUGGAAAUAAGACAGGUAGAUACCAACUGGCAUGUGGCAACUUCUUGGAAUCUGUCUUUCAGAAGCAAAACUUUAUACUGUGCAUUUAGUGAAUGCUCUUCUGCAAAUAUACUUGAGAAUGUUAUUCAUAAUCUUAGACCCAUUCUAGUAAGAUAAGUUACAGAAGUCUACUACCUCCUGGCCUUUGUAUAUCUUGUUAAAAUGUUAUAUUAGAAUGUUUUAUGUUUUUUCUAAUGGCUGAGCAUCAGAAAGCAUCAUGGAGCUUUUAUUUUGAGUCAGAAGUCUUGGCAUUUUAAAAAAUGUUAAUACACAAUAUAUUAGACAUCUUUGUGAUUUUUUUUUUCCCUGAAAGUACAUCCACGUGUGAUUUUGUUGUUGUUGUUGUUAUUGUUAAUACAUUAUAUCCAGUUUAAUAAUGAAAUACUACUUCUCAAGAAGGCUUUGCUUCCUCCAGAAGUGAUUUGGUCAAAGCUAACUGUCCCAUCUAGUAGGAAAAGUUUAAAGACUGCUAGAUCAUGUCCACCCACUUAUUUCACUGUUAAUGGAAGCAUUUCCCAAAGUAUAUGUGCAUUCUGGGUUAAAUAACCUGGGCCACGUAGGUUUGGGACUUACUAUAUGCUACUCUUCUCCUCUCUCUUUAUUAUUUUAUUAAAACAAUAAAAACUCUGAAGUACUGUAGUAUAGGACUUAAUUCCUGGGGAGCUUUGCAAGAGCUUAAGAUUAGAAUUUUUAUCUUGUUUUGGAUAAUGCACUUCUAAGUUUAUUUUUUCCUAAUGAUAGCUCAAGAAGGAUGUUUAAAAGAAAAAUGUAACCCCAUAUCCUGUGUAUCAUAAAUAUAUCUCUGAUAUGUGUGUAUCUCUAUAUAAUCUCCAUGUAACACCAGUUAGAUUGUCUAGAUUUCAUUAAUGAAUUUUUCAUAAAGAUUUUCAUUUCUA
RNAcentral lists this long non-coding RNA (1651 nucleotides) under Homo sapiens (human). RNAcentral describes it as "novel transcript, sense intronic to RAB5A". Lineage: Eukaryota; Metazoa; Chordata; Mammalia; Primates; Hominidae. The record is from RNAcentral.